Molecule: ribosomal RNA, 447 nt
Filed under: uncultured bacterium
Lineage: Bacteria
Description: bacterial SSU rRNA
Rfam family: Bacterial small subunit ribosomal RNA
Source: RNAcentral
UUCUCUUCGGAGAUGAUUUUUGGUAGUUAGUGGCGGACGGGUGAGUUAACGCGGUGAGUAACCUGCCCUUGAAGAGGGGGAUAACGUUCUGAAAAGAACGCUAAUACCGCAUAACAUUUAUCUUAUCGCAAUGGUAGGAUAAUCAAAAACGUCCGGUGCUCAAGGAUGGACUCGCGUCCGAUUAGAUAGUUGGUGAGGUAACGGCUCACCAAGUCGACGAUCGGUAGCCGGACUGAGAGGUUGAACGGCCACAUUGGGACUGAGACACGGCCCAGACUCCUACGGGAGGCAGCAGUGGGGGAUAUUGCGCAAUGGGGGGAAAAACCCCCUGACGCAGCAACGCCGCGUGGAUGAUGACGGUUUUCGGAUUGUAAAGUCCUUUUCUUAGGGACGAAGAUUGACGGUACCUAAGGAAUAAGCUCCGGCUAACUACGUGCCAGCCGCAGC